This 465-nucleotide ribosomal RNA is filed under the name Vreelandella stevensii. RNAcentral describes it as "partial 16S ribosomal RNA". It matches the Rfam family "Bacterial small subunit ribosomal RNA", at positions 338 to 795 of the family's 1533-position model. Lineage: Bacteria; Pseudomonadati; Pseudomonadota; Gammaproteobacteria; Oceanospirillales; Halomonadaceae. The record is from RNAcentral.
CCUACGGGAGGCUGCAGUGGGGAAUAUUGGACAAUGGGGGCAACCCUGAUCCAGCCAUGCCGCGUGUGUGAAGAAGGCCCUCGGGUUGUAAAGCACUUUCAGUGAGGAAGAACGCCUGGUGGUUAAUACCCAUCAGGAAAGACAUCACUCACAGAAGGAGCACCGGCUAACUCCGUGCCAGCAGCCGCGGUAAUACGGAGGGUGCGAGCGUUAAUCGGAAUUACUGGGCGUAAAGCGCGCGUAGGUGGCUUGAUAAGCCGGUUGUGAAAGCCCCGGGCUCAACCUGGGAACGGCAUCCGGAACUGUCAAGCUAGAGUGCAGGAGAGGAAGGUAGAAUUCCCGGUGUAGCGGUGAAAUGCGUAGAGAUCGGGAGGAAUACCAGUGGCGAAGGCGGCCUUCUGGACUGACACUGACACUGAGGUGCGAAAGCGUGGGUAGCAAACAGGAUUAGAUACCCUGGUAGUC